RNAcentral lists this ribosomal RNA (786 nucleotides) under uncultured bacterium. RNAcentral's name for it is "bacterial SSU rRNA". It matches the Rfam family "Bacterial small subunit ribosomal RNA", at positions 60 to 835 of the family's 1533-position model. The record is from RNAcentral.
AGUCGAGGGGCAUCAGUUUGGUUUGCUUGCAACCAAAGCUGGCGACCGGCGCACGGGUGAGUAACACGUAUCCAACCUGCCUCAUACUCGGGGAUAGCCUUUCGAAAGAAAGAUUAAUAUCCGAUAGCAUAUAUUUCCCGCAUGGGUUUUAUAUUAAAGAAAUUCGGUAUGAGAUGGGGAUGCGUUCCAUUAGUUUGUUGGCGGGGUAACGGCCCACCAAGACUACGAUGGAUAGGGGUUCUGAGAGGAAGGUCCCCCACAUUGGAACUGAGACACGGUCCAAACUCCUACGGGAGGCAGCAGUGAGGAAUAUUGGUCAAUGGACGCGAGUCUGAACCAGCCAAGUAGCGUGAAGGAUGACUGCCCUAUGGGUUGUAAACUUCUUUUAUAUGGGAAUAAAGUGGUCCACGUGUGGAUUUUUGUAUGUACCAUAUGAAUAAGGAUCGGCUAACUCCGUGCCAGCAGCCGCGGUAAUACGGAGGAUCCGAGCGUUAUCCGGAUUUAUUGGGUUUAAAGGGAGCGUAGGCGGAUUGUUAAGUCAGUUGUGAAAGUUUGCGGCUCAACCGUAAAAUUGCAGUUGAUACUGGCAGUCUUGAGUGCAGUAGAGGUGGGCGGAAUUCGUGGUGUAGCGGUGAAAUGCUUAGAUAUCACGAAGAACUCCGAUUGCGAAGGCAGCUCACUGGAGUGUAACUGACGCUGAUGCUCGAAAGUGUGGGUAUCAAACAGGAUUAGAUACCCUGGUAGUCCACACAGUAAACGAUGAAUACUCGCUGUUUGCGAUAUACA